Rhipicephalus microplus (southern cattle tick) is the source of this 622-nucleotide long non-coding RNA. RefSeq lists it as uncharacterized. NCBI's taxonomy places the organism in Eukaryota, Metazoa, Arthropoda, Arachnida, Ixodida, Ixodidae. The record is from RefSeq and is a predicted model, not a curated record.
UCAAACCUGCUUGCGUACGCUUUUGUUCUGGUCGCCUGCGCCGCAUUGGUGGAUAUGGCGGUAGCGUACGACCCCACAUUCUUCGACAUUGGGUUCGGCUGCCCGAAGUCGGCACUGUCCUGUUUUCAGGAAUGCCGAGAUCAGCGUGGGCACCGGGGCGGCUAUUGCAACGGACCUUUCAACAUCGUAUGCACUUGCUACUGAGAUUUGGAAUUAAAGAACUACCGUGCAGCUUGAGAUUGGUUUCGAAGCAGCGUCACCAAUUCGACCACAAUCGCCAUCAUCAUGCGCGUUAUAAAAAUAACGGCUUCCUUGGCUUUCCCAUUCGCCUUCACAUUCAGGCUUUGGUGUUCUAGGAGUACAUUACCUUAAACCGUGUUCCUCAAGGUUAAUGGCUCUAACAGUGGGGCAGUUUCAGUGUGUGUGUGUGUUUGUUUUAAUUUCUGUAAGCAGCGAACAAGUGAAGUAGUUGAGGUUUUGUGGCCUUUGCCAAAAGAAAUUACAGCUAAAAAGAACGCCGUAUGCACAUUUCAUUACGUGAUUCCUUCUUUCAUGCUGUGAAUAUGUUGCUAGUCAAAACUUCUAACCUAUUGUUUGACAAUAAAGAGAUUUGUUCUUCCGA